ACGCUGGCGGCACGCCUAACACAUGCAAGUCGAACGAAGUAGCAAUACUUAGUGGCAGACGGGUGAGUAACAUGUAGGUAUCUGCCCUUUGGCCUGGAAUAACACGAGGAAACUUGUGCUAAUACCGGAUAAGUCUUUACGGAGAAAGCUUUAUGCACCAUUGGAUGAGCCUGCACUUGAUUAGUUUGUUGGUGGGGUAAUGGCCUACCAAGACUGUGAUCAAUAGCUGAUUUGAGAGGAUGAUCAGCCACAUUGGGACUGAGACACGGCCCAAACUCCUACGGGAGGCAGCAGUGGGGAAUCUUGCACAAUGGAGGAAACUCUGAUGCAGCGAUGCCGCGUGAGUGAAGAAGGCCUUUGGGUUGUAAAGCUCUUUCGUCGGGGAAGAAAAUGACUGUACCCGAAUAAGAAGGUCCGGCUAACUUCGUGCCAGCAGCCGCGGUAAUACGAAGGGACCUAGCGUAGUUCGGAAUUACUGGGCUUAAAGAGUUCGUAGGUGGUUGAAAAAGUUGGUGGUGAAAUCCCAGAGCUUAACUCUGGAACUGCCAUCAAAACUUUUCAGCUAGAGUAUGAUAGAGGAAAGCAGAAUUUCUAGUGUAGAGGUGAAAUUCGUAGAUAUUAGAAAGAAUACCAAUUGCGAAGGCAGCUUUCUGGAUCAUUACUGACACUGAGGAACGAAAGCAUGGGUAGCGAAGAGGAUUAGAUACCCUCGUAGUCCAUGCCGUAAACGAUGUGUGUUAGACGUUGGAAAUUUAUUUUCAGUGUCGCAGCGAAAGCGAUAAACACACCGCCUGGGGAGUACGACCGCAAGGUUAAAACUCAAAUGAAUUGACGGGGACCCGCACAAGUAGUGGAGCAUGUGGUUUAAUUCGAAGAUACGCGCAGAACCUUACCAACACUUGACAUGUUCGUCGCGACUCUAAGAGAUUAGAGUUUUCGGUUCGGCCGGACGAAACACAGGUGCUGCAUGGCUGUCGUCAGCUCGUGUCGUGAGAUGUUGGGUUAAGUCCCGCAACGAGCGCAACCCUCACUUUUAGUUGCCAUCAUUAGGUUGGGCACUCUGAAAGAACUGCCAGUGAUAAGCUGGAGGAAGGUGGGGAUGACGUCAAGUCCUCAUGGCCCUUACGUGUUGGGCUACACACGUGCUACAAUGGUAUCUACAACAGGAAGCAAAACCGCGAGGUUAAGCAAAUCCUUAAAAGAUACCUCAGUUCGGAUUGCACUCUGCAACUCGAGUGCAUGAAGCUGGAAUUACUAGUAAUCGUGGAUCAGCGUGCCACGGUGAAUGCGUUCCCGGGUCUUGUACACACCGCCCGUCACACCAUGGGAGUUGGUUCUACCUUAAGGCAAGGUUUUAAACCCUUGACCACGGUAUAGUCAGCGACUGGGGU
Molecule: ribosomal RNA, 1391 nt
Filed under: uncultured bacterium
Lineage: Bacteria
Description: 16S ribosomal RNA
Rfam family: Bacterial small subunit ribosomal RNA
Source: RNAcentral